GUGUGCCCAAAAACGAAGCAAAAACAAAAAGGAUAUAUCCAUCCACACGCGUGCAGGCCGCAUAUAAUAAAACCAACAAAAAAAAAAACAAACACAAAUGCCAAAAGAAAGAAAAAUCAUGCAACAGCAGCCUCAGGGGGAAAAUUCGCGGAAACUUGCACCCAAAAAAUUGACAAAAAACGUGAACAAAAUUACGCAAAAUGCAAUCGCGUGUGCC
Molecule: long non-coding RNA, 217 nt
Filed under: Drosophila guanche
Lineage: Eukaryota; Metazoa; Arthropoda; Insecta; Diptera; Drosophilidae
Source: RNAcentral